Molecule: ribosomal RNA, 729 nt
Filed under: Burkholderia cenocepacia
Lineage: Bacteria; Pseudomonadati; Pseudomonadota; Betaproteobacteria; Burkholderiales; Burkholderiaceae
Description: bacterial SSU rRNA
Rfam family: Bacterial small subunit ribosomal RNA
Source: RNAcentral
CUGCAGUCGAACGGCAGCACGGGUGCUUGCACCUGGUGGCGAGUGGCGAACGGGUGAGUAAUACAUCGGAACAUGUCCUGUAGUGGGGGAUAGCCCGGCGAAAGCCGGAUUAAUACCGCAUACGAUCUACGGAUGAAAGCGGGGGACCUUCGGGCCUCGCGCUAUAGGGUUGGCCGAUGGCUGAUUAGCUAGUUGGUGGGGUAAAGGCCUACCAAGGCGACGAUCAGUAGCUGGUCUGAGAGGACGACCAGCCACACUGGGACUGAGACACGGCCCAGACUCCUACGGGAGGCAGCAGUGGGGAAUUUUGGACAAUGGGCGAAAGCCUGAUCCAGCAAUGCCGCGUGUGUGAAGAAGGCCUUCGGGUUGUAAAGCACUUUUGUCCGGAAAGAAAUCCUUGGCUCUAAUACAGCCGGGGGAUGACGGUACCGGAAGAAUAAGCACCGGCUAACUACGUGCCAGCAGCCGCGGUAAUACGUAGGGUGCAAGCGUUAAUCGGAAUUACUGGGCGUAAAGCGUGCGCAGGCGGUUUGCUAAGACCGAUGUGAAAUCCCCGGGCUCAACCUGGGAACUGCAUUGGUGACUGGCAGGCUAGAGUAUGGCAGAGGGGGGUAGAAUUCCACGUGUAGCAGUGAAAUGCGUAGAGAUGUGGAGGAAUACCGAUGGCGAAGGCAGCCCCCUGGGCCAAUACUGACGCUCAUGCACGAAAGCGUGGGGAGCAAACAGGAU